Molecule: ribosomal RNA, 416 nt
Filed under: bacterium enrichment culture clone ALO1_GLFRUDD03HDEEE
Lineage: Bacteria
Description: bacterial SSU rRNA
Rfam family: Bacterial small subunit ribosomal RNA
Source: RNAcentral
GAGUUUGAUCGUGGCUCAGAUUGAACGCUGGCGGCAUGCCUUACACAUGCAAGUCGAACGGCAGCACGGGAGCUUGCUCCUGGUGGCGAGUGGCGAACGGGUGAGUAAUGCAUCGGAACGUAUCCUGGAGUGGGGAUAACGUAGCGAAAGUUACGCUAAUACCGCAUAUUCUGUGAGCAGGAAAGCGGGGGACCUUCGGGCCUCGCGCUCUUGGAGCGGCCGAUGUCGGAUUAGCUAGUUGGUGAGGUGAAGGCUCACCAAGGCGACGAUCCGUAGCAGGUCUGAGAGGAUGAUCUGCCACACUGGAACUGAGACACGGUCCAGACUCCUACGGGAGGCAGCAGUGGGGAAUUUUGGACAAUGGGGCAACCCUGAUCCAGCCAUGCCGCGUGAGUGAAGAAGGCCUCGGUUGUAAG